UCCGGCCAGCUCCGGCCACCGCCCAGCACCGCCGGACCUCCCCGGCGUCCCCCUUGCUCUCCGCCGGCCUCCCCUUGCCGCCCUAGCCGCCGGAUUAGCUCCGGCAAGCCUUGAACCGCAACCCACGAAAUGGGUUUCCAGCUGGUUCGGGCCCGCUUUUGGGCCGUUUCCGGGCCCCGAACCCGAGCCGAGCUUUGGAGUUUGUUGUUCCUCGCGUCGCCCCGUCGGAUUGAUCCGAUUUGCGUGCGAUUUGGUGAGUAAUCUCACUAAUCCCGG
RNAcentral lists this long non-coding RNA (276 nucleotides) under Eucalyptus grandis. RNAcentral's name for it is "long non-coding RNA (EGRA_LNC004380)". The record is from RNAcentral. Lineage: Eukaryota; Viridiplantae; Streptophyta; Magnoliopsida; Myrtales; Myrtaceae.